CCAGCCCUGAGGCCAGUUCAGACUGAAGACGACAAGGGAAGGUGUGCAGCCCAGGGUGAAGGCAGCUGUGUCAUGAGGUUGGGAGAGGCGGAAGAGCCUAGCCCGCUCCUGCCCUAUGGGUGAACUGACACCAAUCACUGAGAACGGAUGUGAGUGGCCGAAGUCACUGGUCAGUAGACUCUCCGAAGCUCUACCUGUUGACAUCCUCUCAGUAAGAAUGGACGGUCCUACUUUCACCUGGAGGAUCUGUCACUGACAAUGAGAUGCUGCCUCAACUUCCAAUGCAGGUGCAGGGUUUCAGAUAAGAGAUUUUAGGGACACAACAUUCUACAUUUGUCGUUAAAGAAUCGGGCCUUGGGUCCAAUUCCCAGUCCAGAUUUGAGACUGAACUCUGUGCCUUCAUCAUACUCCCAUUCCUAGAGGUGCUGGAUGUCUUAUCCUGGUGCCCCCACCAACUAGGAGGCUGACUCUUCCCUCCUAAUCCAUCCUCCCACCCCAGUCCCAACCCUCCCCAUUACUGUCUCCUCCGUGCUUCCUUCCUCAUACCUCCCAUCCAGGUGCCCUUCCCACUGAUUACCUCUCCCCCGCACCCCCUUUCGUGCUCUUUUCUAAGGGGCCCCCGUUUCCUCGGCGCCCCGCAGCGGAACCCGAGCGCGGGAGAAGCGGGGCGACGCCGGACCGGCCGCGGGCGAGUGGUCCUCCCGGAAGUGCGCCUCGCCUCAGGGUCCCCCAGCACCCCCAGCACUGGGCCGAGAACCCACCUGCCUCACUGCGGCCGCGGCCAUAGUCGGUGUGGCGGGUAACUGCCCGCCCAGAGCGCAGCCUGAGAAAAAGCCGUUCCAGCCCCGCCCCACUGACGCCCUUUCGUGGGAUGGCCACCAGCCGGCACCCCAGAUGGACCAGGCCUUCCCAGAUGUGGGGCGCCUGCGGGGAGCUAGGCCCUGCUGCAGAGCGCAUGCGCUAGAACCGGCAGGGCAAGGCGGCCGAAACACACCCUCCUCCUAGGCCCUCCCCAGCCCCCACGCCAUGCAACGUCUUUGAAAAAAUGCCUUUUAAUAGGUUCAGCACUAUUGUGGAGCGCUAUCAAGGAUAAGCAGCCCGAGCAAGAGAAGGGAAAGGCAGGGAGCAGAAAUCUUUACAUAUCACAAUUCUUGCUAUAAAUGUCGGUGGGCACAGGUAUUAUGUAAAAAUGCACAGGAACAGGGAAAGGACUCUGAAGAGGGUGGCAGGUAGGGAUGAAGGGGGAGGUUCACUGUUUGGAUACUUCUCUGUUUGAAUAUAGGUUUUCUUUCCAACGAGAA
Camelus dromedarius (Arabian camel) is the source of this 1301-nucleotide long non-coding RNA. RefSeq lists it as uncharacterized. The record is from RefSeq and is a predicted model, not a curated record. Lineage: Eukaryota; Metazoa; Chordata; Mammalia; Artiodactyla; Camelidae. The transcript is spliced from 3 exons.